AUGUGGGGAAGCUGAAACAUGCGACAUGGUUCUUCCCUGAGGUGUCUUUGGAGUCGGCGAACGAGCUCUUCCUCGAGUUUCAAGACUUGGCGAGUAGGCCAUAUAGGCCUUCCAGUGUCGUUAAGUUUGUGAAGGAGUUUCAAGCCAAGAAUUCUAUUUUCUUCCAUCGACGCAAGAAGCAAUAGAGAAUAUAUAUAUAUUUCAUGAUUAAAGCAGUCCCCCUGUAAACAAGAGGAGGGCCAAAAA
RNAcentral lists this long non-coding RNA (246 nucleotides) under Elaeis guineensis (African oil palm). RNAcentral describes it as "long non-coding RNA (EGUI_LNC023902)". The record is from RNAcentral. Lineage: Eukaryota; Viridiplantae; Streptophyta; Magnoliopsida; Arecales; Arecaceae.